AAGAAGAGUUCUCAUACAACACGCUAAUGAGGAAAAAUUAUGCGAAAAAUUGUUUCGUUAGGGUAUUAAAACUACGACUUGGUCAACAAAAAACAAAUUCCAGUAUGCAAAGCAUGCGGUUCGUUCGAAGAUUACAGACAGAGACGCAACAACUUCCAACUUCGUUCGACAUUUGAAGAUGCACAAAGGACCCCUGCUGUUCCAGGACUUCUCCUUAGAGCCAAUGGAGCGUUCUCUGUUCCAAAAGAGGAGCAAACCUAUGACCAGGACUGUUAAGAAGGCACUUCUUCAACUGCAGGACUGCUUCCAGACAAUGUCACGGUCAGUGUUCGAUCAUCUGGAACUACAGAAGUGGGCAAAUGCUGUUUUCCUUAUAUUAGACACUGUACAGACAAUGUUACUGUGAAUAACCGUGGAAGACGUCAGAGGUCGAAGUACUUUUGAGGUCCCAAAUCUCUGCCUUCCAUUUGGGGGAUAGAGAGCAAUACGGCACGGCUCAAUCGGACCUCAGGAGAGGCAACAAGGCUGCAAAAGUGGAGUAUAGGAGGAAAGUGGAGGCGCACUUGGACAACCAAGACAAGGCAGCCAACAUCUGACAAGCUACAAAAGUAACUUAUCGGCAGCCAGCAACAAGGAAGACUUGCUAGCGGAGGUACUUAAUCACUUCUUUACCUGUUUCGAGUCAUUCAGACCAGCCACACAUGAGAUGCCACUCCUGCCCUCUAGUCCUCAACUGUUAAUCCUCCAAGAACACCAGGGGAGGUGAGCACCGAAGUCUAUAAAACCGCGUGAAGCAGCUGGGCCAGACGGCAUUCUGGGCAGGUUGUUCUGGGACUUUUGCAGACCAGCUGGCAGCAGUACUGACAAGGAUAUUCAAUUCAACCCUGGCACAGGCCCAGGUCCCGCCCUGACUUAAAAGGUAACCACAGUUUUUGUUUGUUUUUUUGCCCAUUUUCAGAAUCCUUAUAUAAGACAAGAACACAUUUUGUUAUUUUUUUAUGCAUUCUAAAUUGUAAAUACAUGUGAUUAAAAGUCUGCUUACAAUGGAGCCUAUCGGGAGUUGCUCUAUUAUGCCAAAAAAUCCCUUAAAAAACAUCCAAACUCCUCCAUUAAGGUUUUAUAUUAAUGCUGUAAGUAUGCUCAUUUUAGGCAUAUGCGUUGCAUUAAUUUCAAACGCAUCACAAUGUUCGCUUAUUUUCGCCAAACAUUACUGAUUACCACUUACUGCAGACUUCAUGUAAGCCAACAAACAUAAUAAAACAUCACUUACUGUAUAAUGUCUGCUGUCAUUAGGAUGCCAACUGAUAGAAUUGUGUGGUAUUGCUAUGUAGCUAAAGAAUGACUCAUAAUCCUCGCAGAGAAAAGGGGGUUAGAACCGAGCAUCUUUUCGUGCAGUUCUCAACAUUUUCGGGUCUAAAUUGGCUGUCAAAGUGUACCAGCUUGUCGGAUUACAUCCUUGUCCUUCUACUUUCAAGGUGAGAGGCAUGAUUUAUGGUCUACAAUAAACUUCCACGAGCAGGGAAGCAAGGUAGCAGGUUUUCACUCGAUGAUAUCAACAUAGGUCCACACUCUAGUGAUCAUGGCGUCGCUAUAAAUAGAUUGUCUGCGUUAGAGCAUAUAAAAACAAUAUCACUAAUAUUUGGUUAAUAUUCAAGUCAUGAAAUGUAAAUGGUUUAUUGUUGGUGCUUUUUUGAUGUUUUUAACUGGAUUUUAUGGGUAGAAUAGAGAAGCUUCCAUUGGCUUCGCUGUGAGCGGACUUUUAUUUACGUUUGUAAACGAGUUAGAAUGCAUAAAAAAAAAACAAAAAACAUUUUUCAUUUUGUCUUUUAUAAUGACUGUGAAAAAGAGGCUAAAUUCCCAAAAAUUGCAAUUCCCCACAAUUAAUAUGAAAGACAUGAGGACAAAUGUUUUUUCCUUUCUUAAGCAUUUUAAAUAUUAAUAACAUUUGAUUAAAAGUUUGCUUACAAUGGAUCCUAUGGGAGCCGUUUAAUUCUGCCUAUAGAGCCCCUAAAAAACGUCCAAACACCUCCAUUACGGUUUUAUGUACAUGAUGUAAGCAUAUAAGUAAUGUAGUAACGGGCACAUUUAUAAAAACACUUAAUAUUUACGUAUUUCGAUCAUUUUAAGUAGGGUUGUCCGGAUAACAAAAUUUUGGUACAGGUAUCGAUCAUUUUGUAAAUUAAGGCGACCCCAAAAAAUAGCAUUAUUGGCUUUAUUUUAACAAUAAUUAAACAUGUUUCUUAUUGCAAGUUUGUCCUUAAAUAAAAUAGUGAACAUACAAGGCAACUUGUCUUUUAGUAGUAAGUAAGCAAACAAAGGCUCCUUAAUUAGCUGCUGACGUAUGCAGUAACAUAUUGUGUAACUUUCUGUUCUAUUAUUGUGUCAAAAUUAUUAAGGACAAGGGGUAACAAGCGCUUUUCGUGUUGUCCUCGCCAGUUCCAGGUCCUACAUGGCGGUCAAAGUGUUGCAACUUUUGGCAUUAUCUCCUCAAACAUCUACUGUCCAGGUGAGAUGCAUGAUUUAUGAUCAACAAUAAACUUACAGGGAGCAAAAAAGCAAGGAAGCAGCAGACCACUCGAUGUAAACAUACAGAGACACAAAAGUGAUCACGGCGACCAAGGGGAAUAAAUAGUUUGUCUGUGUUAGCGCUUAUAACAAAAAUAUCACAAAUAAUUGUUUAAUAUUCAAGUCACAAAAUAUAAAAUUGAUUAUUGGUGGCGCCUUUUGAAUGGUUAUUUAUCUGAUUUUUGGGUGGAAUAGUGGACCUUCCAUUGGCCCUGCUGUGAACACACUUUUAUUUAGGUUUAUUUAAUAUUUUGAAUAUUUUUUUAAAAUCCAUCCGUUGUCAUGUCUUUCAUAAUAAUUGUGAAUAAGAGGCAAAAUUCCCAAAAAAGUGCAGUUCCCUUUUAAAGCAGCCACGGUCUUCCCAAUUUGCAAGAGUAUAGCCAUGAAAGACUUAAAUGACCACACAUCAGUUGCACUGACGUCUGUGGUUAUGAAGUGUUUUAAAGGCUUGUUCUCCAAUAUAUCAAAGCCUGCCUUCCCCAGAACUUGGAUGCACAUCAGUUUGCCUACAGGUAAAACCGGUCCACAGAGGAUGCCAUAGCCACUGCUCUCCACUAAGCUGUGGGACAUCUGGCACUUUUGGAUACAUACAGUAUGUCAGCAUGCUGUUUGUCUACUACAGCUUGGUAUAUAUUACCAUUAUCCCCAACAUUCUAACGGAGAAGCUAAGCUUCCUGGGCCACACUUCUGUUUGUUCUAUUCUUUUGAUGUAACAGGAAACAUUAAAAGUAAGAAUAAAACAUUUAAAACUU
Molecule: long non-coding RNA, 3317 nt
Organism: Nerophis ophidion (straightnose pipefish)
Lineage: Eukaryota; Metazoa; Chordata; Actinopteri; Syngnathiformes; Syngnathidae
Exons: 3
Source: RefSeq, a predicted model, not a curated record